UGGGGAAUAUUGGACAAUGGGCGCAAGCCUGAUCCAGCCAUGCCGCGUGAGUGACGAAGGCCUUAGGGUUGUAAAACUCUUUCGUCGGGGACGAUAAUGACGGUACCCGAAGAAGAAGCUCCGGCUAACUUCGUGCCAGCAGCCGCGGUAAUACGUAGGGUGCGAGCGUUAAUCGGAAUUACUGGGCGUAAAGCGUGCGCAGGCGGUUCGCCAAGUCAGGUGUGAAAUCCCCGGGCUUAACCUGGGAAUUGCGCUUGAAACUAGCGGGCUUGAGUGUGGCAGAGGGGGGUGGAAUUCCACGUGUAGCAGUGAAAUGCGUAGAGAUGUGGAGGAACACCGAUGGCGAAGGCAGCCCCCUGGGUCAACACUGACGCUCAUGCACGAAAGCGUGGGGAGCAAACAGGAUUAGAUACCCUCGUAUUCCCUGAGCGGGCUGGCAAGGCGCAU
This 447-nucleotide ribosomal RNA is filed under the name uncultured bacterium. RNAcentral's name for it is "bacterial SSU rRNA". It matches the Rfam family "Bacterial small subunit ribosomal RNA", at positions 355 to 825 of the family's 1533-position model. The record is from RNAcentral.